Molecule: long non-coding RNA, 206 nt
Filed under: Homo sapiens (human)
Lineage: Eukaryota; Metazoa; Chordata; Mammalia; Primates; Hominidae
Description: HSALNT0280327
Source: RNAcentral
GUUUUCUAGUUUAGAGAUAUUGUGUGUUUAACUUUAGGAGUGAAUGAGGGAUUUUCAGGUAUCUAGGCAAGUGAUCAUAACUUUCUUCACCACAGUAAUGACCUUGAGAUUUUUAUAGAUGCCCAGACAAUAAAUGACGGUGCCUGUACCAAUGUGUUGACCUUCAGGUUCUGCCAAUAUCCAGGUUUCAGUCUAAAGAUCAAGGU